This is a long non-coding RNA of Coffea eugenioides, 876 nucleotides long. RefSeq lists it as uncharacterized. The transcript has 7 exons. NCBI's taxonomy places the organism in Eukaryota, Viridiplantae, Streptophyta, Magnoliopsida, Gentianales, Rubiaceae. The record is from RefSeq and is a predicted model, not a curated record.
AAAAUUUUGGCUCUUCUCAUCUCUCUCGGCAAACUAUCUCUCAAAGCUCUCUGCCAAAAUUUUCCUUUCCCCACAAAGUUUUUUCUGCUGAAUCUCUCCGCAAUCAAACUACCUUUGCUUCCCUAUUGAAGGUAAGAACUAUAUAUUAGUUGGCAUGGUUCACAAGCCCAAUUAAUUAUAAUAGAUGCAGAGCUAAUCAAAGAAUUACUAACCAACAGAGAAGGCGCUUACCAGAAAAUGGAUAUGGAAGGCAUUGCAAAGAAAUUAUCAAAUUAAUAGGUGAGCCGCUUAUAACAAAUGAGGGGAAAAAAUGGGCAAAAGUACACAAACUGGCUAACCACUCAUUCCUUGCAGAGAGCCUAAAGAGCAAGGUACCAGAAAUGAUUGCUAGUGUCGAGGCGUUGCUGGAAAGCAAAGUCUGUAAUUAAGAAGAAGUAUGGCCAAGAUGCAACAAAUGUUGGUGAUGAGGGUGACAUUGCUCUAAUAUCCAGGAGAACAAGGAAGGUCUUGAAUUGCUUAAAACAGCUAUUGCUAAAGCUGGUUACACUGGUAAAGUUGUGAUUGGGAUGGAUGUGGCUGCUUCUGAGUUUUAUGGUAAAGACAAGACUUAUGAUCUAAACUUCAAAGAAGAGAAUAAUGAUGGCUCACAAAAGAUAUCAGGUUAUGACUGAAGGCUCUCAUUUCAUUGGAAAGUUUGGAAGCUACUGCAAGUUCUUUCUACUUGCUAGGGAUGAGAAUAUUUUAGUUUGUGCACAAGAGAAUCUUUUAAGUUUGUGCACAUGAGAAUCUUUCAAGUUUGUAUUUGUUAGGGAUUUGUUAUGUUAGUACUUGUUACUGACUUUUAGUUCAACAAAUUAUAUUUGAGUAUUGACUUUU